GACGAACGCUGGCGGCGUGCUUAACACAUGCAAGUCGAACGAUGAUCUGGCAGCUUGCUGCUGGGGAUUAGUGGCGAACGGGUGAGUAACACGUGAGUAACCUGCCCUGGACUCUGGGAU
RNAcentral lists this ribosomal RNA (120 nucleotides) under uncultured bacterium. RNAcentral's name for it is "partial 16S ribosomal RNA". It matches the Rfam family "Bacterial small subunit ribosomal RNA", at positions 28 to 144 of the family's 1533-position model. The record is from RNAcentral.